Molecule: unclassified non-coding RNA, 520 nt
Filed under: uncultured Glomus
Lineage: Eukaryota; Fungi; Glomeromycota; Glomeromycetes; Glomerales; Glomeraceae
Also listed under: 1 other name
Description: SSU rRNA
Rfam family: Eukaryotic small subunit ribosomal RNA
Source: RNAcentral
AGCAGCCGCGGUAAUUCCAGCUCCAAUAGCGUAUAUUAAAGUUGUUGCAGUUAAAAAGCUCGUAGUUGAAUUUCGGGAUCAAUAUAUCGGUCGUGCCUUCGGUACGUACUGGUAUCAUUGGUUUCUCCUUUCUGACGAACCAUGAUGUCAUUAAUUUGGUGUUAUGGGGAGUUAGGACUGUUACUUUGAAAAAAUUAGAGUGUUUAAAGCAGGCUUUAGCUUGAAUACAUUAGCAUGGAAUAAUGAAAUGGGACGUUCGAACCUAUUUUGUUGGUUUCUAGGAUCAACGUAAUGAUUAAUAGGGAUAGUUGGGGGCAUUAGUACUCAAUUGUCAGAGGUGAAAUUCUUGGAUUUAUUGAAGACUAACUACUGCGAAAGCAUUUUGCCAAGGAUGUUUUCAUUAAUCAAGAACGAAAGUUAGGGGAUCGAAGACGAUCAGAUACCGUCGUAGUCUUAACCAUAAACUAUGCCGACUAGGGAUCGGAUGAUGUUAAUUUUUUAAUGACUCAUUCGGCGCCUU